GACGAACGCUGGCGGCGUGCUUAACACAUGCAAGUCGAACGGAAAGGCCCUGCUUUUGUGGGGUGCUCGAGUGGCGAACGGGUGAGUAACACGUGAGCAACCUGCCCUUGACUUUGGGAUAACUUCAGGAAACUGGGGCUAAUACCGGAUAGGAGCUCCUGCUGCAUGGUGGGGGUUGGAAAGUUUCGGCGGUUGGGGAUGGACUCGCGGCUUAUCAGCUUGUUGGUGGGGUAGUGGCUUACCAAGGCUUUGACGGGUAGCCGGCCUGAGAGGGUGACCGGCCACAUUGGGACUGAGAUACGGCCCAGACGCCUACGGGAGGCAGCAGUGGGGAAUAUUGCACAAUGGGCGGAGGCCUGAUGCAGCAACGCCGCGUGCGGGAUGACGGCCUUCGGGUUGUAAACCGCUUUCGCCUGUGACGAAGAGUGAGUGACGGUAAUGGGUAAAGAAGCACCGGCAAACUACGUG
Molecule: ribosomal RNA, 468 nt
Filed under: uncultured bacterium
Lineage: Bacteria
Description: partial 16S ribosomal RNA
Rfam family: Bacterial small subunit ribosomal RNA
Source: RNAcentral